Sorex araneus (European shrew) is the source of this 137-nucleotide small nucleolar RNA. Its record names the gene SNORA70. It matches the Rfam family "Small nucleolar RNA SNORA70". Rfam says of the family: snoRNA U70 seems to be exclusive to mammals and is a member of the H/ACA class of snoRNA which contain H (ANANNA) and ACA box motifs. H/ACA box snoRNAs are involved in the conversion of uridines to pseudouridines (5-ribosyluracil) a constituent of structural RNAs (transfer, ribosomal, small nuclear, and small nucleolar). Lineage: Eukaryota; Metazoa; Chordata; Mammalia; Eulipotyphla; Soricidae. The record is from Ensembl.
GUGUAGCCAAGUAUAAAGUGAUGGUGCUUUCUGCUCUAUGGGGCCCAGUGUGAAAUGGUUGCAAACAGCCAAAAGCUUCCUUAUUAGUGUAAAAGGCUGUGACUUGUAGUCUGUUGUAAGGGACCCUGGAGAGAGUU